This 310-nucleotide long non-coding RNA is filed under the name Gossypium raimondii (Peruvian cotton). RNAcentral describes it as "long non-coding RNA (GRAI_LNC002673)". Lineage: Eukaryota; Viridiplantae; Streptophyta; Magnoliopsida; Malvales; Malvaceae. The record is from RNAcentral.
AGACUUCUCUUUUUAAUUUCAAUUGUUUUAUUUUUAUUUGUGAGAGUUAUUUAUUUUAUUUUGAUUUUGAACUAUGUUUUUAUUUUUCUUAUUUUGAUGGUUGUUUUUAUUCCAGUUUGUAACAUCUAAAUCUUUUUAUUUAUCUGUGUUUAUCUUCUUAUUAGUUUGCUCAGAAACAUGCACUACAUUUAGAUUUGCUCACAAUUCUGAUUUUCUCUAUUCUGGAGAUUUCAUCCAUAUUCAAGGUAGUUUCAUUUCGCUCCCUCUCUUUUCAUAUUGUGCUUAUUCUAUGCUUUUAUCUAUUUGUACA